AUUGAACGCUGGCGGCAGGCCUAACACAUGCAAGUCGAGCGGAUGAAGGGAGCUUGCUCCUGGAUUCAGCGGCGGACGGGUGAGUAAUGCCUAGGAAUCUGCCUGGUAGUGGGGGAUAACGUCCGGAAACGGGCGCUAAUACCGCAUACGUCCUGAGGGAGAAAGUGGGGGAUCUUCGGACCUCACGCUAUCAGAUGAGCCUAGGUCGGAUUAGCUAGUUGGUGGGGUAAAGGCCUACCAAGGCGACGAUCCGUAACUGGUCUGAGGGGAUGAUCAGUCACACUGGAACUGAGACACGGUCCAGACUCCUACGGGAGGCAGAAGUGGGGAAUAUUGGACAAUGGGCGAAAGCCUGAUCCAGCCAUGCCGCGGGUGUGAAGAAGGUCUUCGGAUUGUAAAGCACUUUAAGUUGGGAGGAAGGGCAGUAAGUUAAUACCUUGCUGUUUUGACGUUACCAACAGAAUAAGCACCGGCUAACUUCGU
Molecule: ribosomal RNA, 483 nt
Filed under: uncultured bacterium
Lineage: Bacteria
Description: partial 16S ribosomal RNA
Rfam family: Bacterial small subunit ribosomal RNA
Source: RNAcentral